UACAGAGGGGUGCGAGCGUUUGUCCGGAAUCACUGGGGCGUAAAGGGGCGCGUAGGUGGCGUCGCAAGUCGAUGGUGAAAGCUCGGCGCUCAACGGCCCGAGUCGGCCCCUUGAUACUGCGAGGCUGGAGCACUGUAGAGGCAGAUGGAAUUCCGGGGUGUAGCGGUGGAAUGCGUAGAGAUCCGGAAGAACACCGGGUGGCGAAGGCGGUCGUGCUGGGCAGCUGAGCUGACACUUGGAGG
RNAcentral lists this ribosomal RNA (242 nucleotides) under uncultured bacterium. RNAcentral describes it as "partial 16S ribosomal RNA". It matches the Rfam family "Bacterial small subunit ribosomal RNA", at positions 524 to 751 of the family's 1533-position model. The record is from RNAcentral.